GAUGAACGCUGGCGGCGUGCCUAAUACAUGCAAGUCGAGCGAACGGACGAGAAGCUUGCUUUUCUGAUGUUAGCGGCGGACGGGUGAGUAACACGUGGAUAACCUACCUAUAAGACUGGGAUAACUUCGGGAAACCGGAGCUAAUACCGGAUAAUAUUUUUAACCGCAUGGUUCAUAAGUGAAAGACGGUCUUGCUGUCACUUAUAGAUGGAUCCGCGCUGCAUUAGCUAGUUGGUAAGGUAACGGCUUACCAAGGCAACGAUGCAUAGCCGACCUGAGAGGGUGAUCGGCCACACUGGAACUGAGACACGGUCCAGACUCCUACGGGAGGCAGCAGUAGGGAAUCUUCCGCAAUGGGCGAAAGCCUGACGGAGCAAAGCCGCGUGAGUGAUGAAGGUCUUCGGAUCGUAAAACUCUGUUAUUAGGGAAGAACAUAUGUGUAAGUAACUGUGCACAUCUUGACGGUACCUAAUCAGAAAGCCACGGCUAACUACGUG
Molecule: ribosomal RNA, 497 nt
Filed under: uncultured bacterium
Lineage: Bacteria
Description: partial 16S ribosomal RNA
Rfam family: Bacterial small subunit ribosomal RNA
Source: RNAcentral